Long non-coding RNA from Erinaceus europaeus (western European hedgehog), 155 nucleotides. RefSeq lists it as uncharacterized. NCBI's taxonomy places the organism in Eukaryota, Metazoa, Chordata, Mammalia, Eulipotyphla, Erinaceidae. The transcript is spliced from 3 exons. The record is from RefSeq and is a predicted model, not a curated record.
GCUGGUCUUGGGCUGGGCUGACCGCAGCUUCGUUGUCUCUUUUAAAUCAGCUGAGAGGAUGGAGCAAUGGUAUAAGGAGCUUUGUAGCAACAUUUACAGUGAGAACAUGGACUAUGUGGACGCCAUGCUGGAGUAUGCGGAGGACGACAUCAGUG